Molecule: ribosomal RNA, 468 nt
Filed under: uncultured bacterium
Lineage: Bacteria
Description: partial 16S ribosomal RNA
Rfam family: Bacterial small subunit ribosomal RNA
Source: RNAcentral
GACGAACGCUGGCGGCGUGCUUAACACAUGCAAGUCGAACGGAAAGGCCCUGCUUUUGUGGGGUGCUCGAGUGGCGAACGGGUGAGUAACACGUGAGUAACCUGCCCUUGACUUUGGGAUAACUUCAGGAAACUGGGGCUAAUACCGGAUAGGAGCUCCUGCUGCAUGGUGGGGGUUGGAAAGUUUCGGCGGUUGGGGAUGGACUCGCGGCUUAUCAGCUUGUUGGUGGGGUAGUGGCUUACCAAGGCUUUGACGGGUAGCCGGCCUGAGAGGGUGACCGGCCACCUUGGGACUGAGAUACGGCCCAGACUCCUACGGGAGGCAGCAGUGGGGAAUAUUGCACAAUGGGCGGAAGCCUGGUGCAGCAACGCCGCGUGCGGGAUGACGGGCUUCGGGUUGUAAACCGCUUUCGCCUGUGACGAAGCGUGAGUGACGGUAAUGGGUAAAGAAGCACCGGCUAACUACGUG